Molecule: long non-coding RNA, 546 nt
Organism: Trichomycterus rosablanca
Lineage: Eukaryota; Metazoa; Chordata; Actinopteri; Siluriformes; Trichomycteridae
Exons: 4
Source: RefSeq, a predicted model, not a curated record
GGGAUCUAUUCACUGCUGUGGACGAUUUCAUAAAAUAACUAUUCGAGAAACAAGUAUUGCAGCUGUUAAUUACAGUUGCAUGAUGAUGAUAGUGAAGAUGAAAACCCUGUAGUUAGUCAUCAACCAGAGAAAGUCACAGUAGAAAUUAAUAAUGAAGCCAUAAUUACAUCCCUUUGUGCGCUCCUUGGCCAACACUAAUGUUUUGGUUCCAAAGAAUGCCUUCCAGAGACUCAACAGAACAAUGUUUUCUGCAUCUUUGCGCAAGAGCUGGCCGUCUUGGUCUUCACCAGAGAAACUUUAAGAGACUCCACCCUUACUGGAAAAUCUUCAAAGGGAGCACUACUAGAGACAACUAGAUGUGGCAAAUGUGCAUGCAAUAACAGUUAUGGCUGAAUUUCCAAAUACAUCAGCUUCAGAUGUGCGGACUGCAAUAAGGUGAAAAGGCAACAAUGAGCAGUUCAUAAGUAAAAAAAAAAAUGUUUAGUUUGUUUUGUACUAAGCUCUUUACACUUUUACAUUUGAUGGCCACUGUUGCCAAAGAAAAUU